CAGCCCCGCGGGAAUACGAAGGGGGCUAGCGUUGUUCGGAUUUACUGGGCGUAAAGCGCACGUAGGCGGACUUUUAAGUCAGGGGUGAAAUCCCGGGGCUCAACCCCGGAACUGCCUUUGAUACUGGAAGUCUUGAGUAUGGUAGAGGUGAGUGGAAUUCCGAGUGUAGAGGUGAAAUUCGUAGAUAUUCGGAGGAACACCAGUGGCGAAGGCGGCUCACUGGACCAUUACUGACGCUGAGGUGCGAAAGCGUGGGGAGCAAACAGGAUUAGAUACCCCCGUAGUCCCUGUCUCUUAUACC
RNAcentral lists this ribosomal RNA (301 nucleotides) under uncultured bacterium. RNAcentral's name for it is "partial 16S ribosomal RNA". It matches the Rfam family "Bacterial small subunit ribosomal RNA", at positions 509 to 808 of the family's 1533-position model. The record is from RNAcentral.